This 855-nucleotide long non-coding RNA is filed under the name Vitis vinifera (wine grape). Its description in RNAcentral is "long non-coding RNA (VVIN_LNC006689)". The record is from RNAcentral. Lineage: Eukaryota; Viridiplantae; Streptophyta; Magnoliopsida; Vitales; Vitaceae.
UAGAGCUUUUAGCACUCAGGCUGCAACAACUGCAAGUGCUUCACAGCCUCCACCACCUCCUCCACCUCCAGAGAAAACCCAUUUUGGUGGCCUGAAAGAUGAGGACCGCAUCUUCACCAAUCUUUAUGGGUUGCAUGACCCAUUUCUUAAAGGUGCCAUGAAAAGGGGCGACUGGUACAGGACCAAAGACAUAGUACUCAAGGGUUCUGAUUGGAUUGUAAAUGAAAUGAAGAAAUCUGGUCUCCGUGGACGUGGUGGUGCCGGUUUUCCAUCUGGCCUCAAAUGGUCCUUCAUGCCAAAAGUAUCUGAUGGCCGUCCUUCCUAUCUUGUUGUCAAUGCUGAUGAAAGUGAACCUGGAACAUGUAAAGACAGAGAAAUAAUGCGGCAUGAUCCACACAAACUAUUAGAGGGCUGCUUGAUUGCUGGGGUUGGAAUGAGGGCUACUACCGCUUACAUCUACAUAAGGGGUGAAUAUGUGAAUGAACGUAAAAACCUUGAAAGGGCCAGGAAAGAAGCUUAUGAAGCUGGAUUACUGGGCAAGAAUGCAUGUGGAUCUGGUUAUGAUUUUGAUGUCCAUAUCCAUUAUGGUGCUGGUGCUUAUAUUUGUGGUGAGGAAACAGCACUUUUGGAGAGUCUUGAAGGGAAACAAGGGAAGCCGAGAUUGAAGCCUCCCUUCCCAGCUAAUGCAGGAUUAUAUGGUUGUCCCACCACUGUUACAAAUGUGGAAACUGUGGCUGUUUCACCCACCAUCUUAAGGCGUGGACCAGAGUGGUUUGCUGGUUUUGGAAGGAAGAACAAUGCUGGGACAAAAUUGUAUUGUGUUUCAGGUCAUGUGAACAAACCUUGCACUGUUGA